This 301-nucleotide ribosomal RNA is filed under the name uncultured bacterium. RNAcentral describes it as "partial 16S ribosomal RNA". It matches the Rfam family "Bacterial small subunit ribosomal RNA", at positions 509 to 807 of the family's 1533-position model. The record is from RNAcentral.
CAGCCGCCGCGGUAAUACAGAGGGUGCGAGCGUUAAUCGAAUUUACUGGGCGUAAAGCGUGCGUAGGCGGCUUCUUAAGUCGGAUGUGAAAUCCCUGAGCUUAACUUAGGAAUUGCAUUCGAUACUGGGAAGCUAGAGUAUGGGAGAGGAUGGUAGAAUUCCAGGUGUAGCGGUGAAAUGCGUAGAGAUCUGGAGGAAUACCGAUGGCGAAGGCAGCCAUCUGGCCUAAUACUGACGCUGAGGUACGAAAGCAUGGGGAGCAAACAGGAUUAGAGACCCCUGUAGUCCCUGUCUCUUAUAC